GCAUCCUGGGCCGGCCCUAUUGAAAACAAAACAAGAUGCAUAAUUCCAAACCCUAAUCGCCUUUCGACCGUAGAAAACCCUAAUCCCUUUCCUUUAAAUACUUUCGUUAUCUCAAUCCUUCUUCUUCAUUCUCAUUCUACCUUCAAAUAAUCUACUCUUCGUUUAUUUAUUUAUUUUUUAUGAAAAAUCUAAACCAUAUGAUGAAUUUGGAUUCUCAAUCUCACGACGGUCGUCUGAGUUUAACGUUGAUGAAUUGAUCCAAUAUUUCUGAUGGUUAAGUACGCACUUAUCUGGUUAGGUUUCUAGGGAUUAGGUUUUAUAAGUUUCCGAAUAUCACCCUGGAAUGAGUAUUGUACGGAUUGUUCUUGAUAAUUUACCUCUUGUUGAGAAGUUGCCGUGAUUUGUUUGUAGCAAUUUGAUUUUGGUUCAAUUUUAACUAUUCUGGCAUGGUGGCCUCUCUUGAUGUUACUUCCAAAUAGGUAGAUUUGAAUUCAUAUUUAUAAAUUUUUUGCAGGUUUGAAAUCUGGUUGAAGGUGCCACCAUAAAGUGAUCACAUUAAUAUAUUGAUGUCGAAAAUGCAAGCUAAUUGGGUAAAACCGAUUACGGACACCUGCUCAUACAUUUGUGAUUAUGAAAAAUGAUUAGGAUUGUUGUUGUGUCAGUUUGUUAAAUUUGGGGUGUCUAUACUUCAUAAUGGGCACGAUUGGAAUAACAUGCUUUCAGGAUUUUCGUGGAUAUUCAGGAUUUAUUUCCGUGAGGAAAACGUUUUUGGUUUGUAUGUAUGUGCUCUUUUAAAUGAAUGUGUUUUCCUUCUCCUAUUUUACUUUGGGUUAACCUUUGGGUGAGUCCCCUGCAAUGUGAGUGUGUUAUUUAAGGAUAUGUCCCUUAAUCAGGGUGAGUUCAUCAAAUAGACGUAAGGGUGAGUCCCUUGGUUAAGUCUUUUGUUUGGGAAUGAGUCAUCAUCCCCUUACCAAAUGUCUACUAAAUGUCUACUAAGUAACUUGCGUGGUAGUUGGUGAUGUAUAACAUCUAUCAUUCAAAUGAGAUAGACUCGAUUUAGUUUAGUGUGAGCAAUUACAACAAUUGUAGUUUCCUUGAGAUGUUAGAUAGACUUGGACUUCACACUUGUUCAAAACAUGCCAAGCUUUUUAAAAGUUUCUUUCGGAGCCGAAAAGGUUUUUUUGAAUGUUUGUAGCUAUAUAAUUUCCCUAUAAAAGAUUCCUCAUUCUCCUGUUUUUUUCUUUACUCCUUUUUCUGCUUGAACAAAUUUAUACAAGUUUAUUCUAACUUUUUCUCUAUUUGCAACCCAUUUAGGUAUUGAUUCUUUUUAUCUUUUCUCUUGAUUUUUUUCUUUACUCAUUUUUCUGCUUGCACAAUUUUAUACAAGUUUAUUCUAACUUUUUCUCUAUUUGCAACACAUUUAGUUAUUGAUUCUUUUUAUCUUUAUUCCUUCUAAUUGUUAUGGUUGGAGAUUUUAGAUAGUUUAUUCUUCGGCCUUUAGCCUGGUGCUAAGUUUUAUUUUUCUUAGAUCGAGGGUUUUAGUAAUCUCGUUAGCUAUGGUGGUGUCAAUAUCUUUUUGUUCUUGUGUUCUAGGGAACAAAGUGAUGAUAGUUUACCCUCUGCUGUGUCAAAAGAGUUCAAAGAUAUUGGAGUCUUUCAUAUCCCUGUGGAAAUCUUUCAUGUAGAGGAUGAAGAGAUUGUUGUUUUGGAAAGUCUUUUAACAUUGCCCCUUCUUAGUUAAUUAAGGCUUUGUUAGGUCGUUCAAAUUGGUGUGCCAAGGGCUAGAAGUUUACUCCAGUAUUGGGUUGAAAGGGGAUCCAACUUUUAUAAAAGGGUUAGAUAACCCAAGGUGGCAUUUUAGGGAAUGAGAUAUUCAAAGCCCAUUCCAACGAUUCUAAGAAUUAGAAGGACAAAUUUGUAUAAGUGAGACUGUGAGUGGAUUCUUGUAUUGUGAUGGAGGAGAAUGAUGCCACCUAUGCCCUCUACCUUAGAAGGAAAAACUUGCAGCUAUUAUUGGAUAUGACUAUAUAAGUACUUGACAUCCAACGAGUCCAAGGUAGCUCGUCUUUUAGAGAAUUUGUGGUAGGGGAAUAGUGACCCCCUUGAUAAUUACUUGAGUAUGAUUAAAUACUUUGGUGCUUUUAUGUAUUGUUUUGCAGGUCAGAUGGCUAAGGUUUUCUUAGAGGAAAAGUUGAGAUGAAAUCCAGACCAGGUGUGGGGAGACAAAUAGCCCACAGUCAUCUUGAGGGCUUUAUUAUCAAGGGAAAGAAGAGGUGGGAUGAAGAAUAACUUACUUGCCCAAUGCUAAGAUCCCAAACAUAAAGGGGGGUUUUCAUUGGUUGCUUGGGACAAAGUUGUUCUGCCUACCUCGAAGGAGGUGGGUGCUCAAAGGCCACCUAAUGGCGAGGCUCUACCACCUCAUUAUUCUUUGUGGAGUGCCUCUAGUUUUGAUGUUAUUUAGUUUAUUGAUCGUUAUCUUUGUUUAUCUUCAAAGUUCCCUAAUGACUACUAGAACAUUUGUAAUAUUGGAAUGUGUUGACCGAGAUAGGUGAACCCAGGUCUAAAAAUUGUUGAGUGGGAAGCUUAAGAAAUAUGAUGAGGGUUAUUGCAAAAGCAAGAAGUUGGAGAAGGAGUCCUUAGAAACAUGGUGGCCCGUUGUAGCGUCCAAGGCCAAAGAAAUUGAUGCCCAAAGAGAAACCGUUGAUAUUAUCCUUAGUGGAUGCCUUCCAUUUCAAAAAGCAAUUUGAGGGCAAGUGUCAUGCCUCAAGGAUGACUUGGUGGUAAACUCUAGUACUUCUUUUAGGCAUACGAAGGAACAUUUGUCCUUCUUCUCCCACAUUGGACCUAGACAUUUUAAAUAUUUUUAAAGUUAUCUAGGAAGGUAAUUUGGUGGAUGAGAAGGAGAGGUCCUCACCAGAACACAAAAGAUCCCCCAUAUGAUAUGAUUCUCAGGAUGGUCCUAGUGCUGAUGUAUCCCCCAAUGAAAAAAUGUUUUUGUGUUCUUUGUUUCUUCAGGCCCUUUCUGGCCUUUUAUUGUCUUCUUGUUCCUAGGGGAUUUGUGUAAAAACUUAAACUAAUACCCUUUCAAAGUGUUUUUGUAUUAAUUGCCUUAUUAUAAUUUAUAUAGUUUUUUUUGUUCA
This is a long non-coding RNA of Lathyrus oleraceus (garden pea), 3140 nucleotides long. RefSeq lists it as uncharacterized. Lineage: Eukaryota; Viridiplantae; Streptophyta; Magnoliopsida; Fabales; Fabaceae. The record is from RefSeq and is a predicted model, not a curated record. The transcript is spliced from 2 exons.